Molecule: ribosomal RNA, 406 nt
Filed under: uncultured bacterium
Lineage: Bacteria
Description: partial 16S ribosomal RNA
Rfam family: Bacterial small subunit ribosomal RNA
Source: RNAcentral
AUUGAACGCUGGCGGCAGGCCUAACACAUGCAAGUCGAACGAGUGGCGGACGGGUGAGUAAUGUCUGGGAAACUGCCUGAUGGAGGGGGAUAACUACUGGAAACGGUAGCUAAUACCGCAUACCAUCGGAUGUGCCCAGAUGGGAUUAGCUAGUAGGUGGGGUAACGGCGCACCUAGGCGACGAUCCCUAGCUGGGCUGAGAGGAUGACCAGCGACACGGGAACUGCGACGCGGUCCAGACUCCUCCGGGAGGCAGCAGUGGGGAAUAUUGCACAAUGGGCGCAAGCCGGAUGCAGCCAUGCCGCGUGUAUGAAGAAGGCCUUCGGGGUGUAAAGUACUUUCAGCGAGGAGGCGUUACUCGCAGAAGAAGCACCGGCUAACUCCGUGCCAGCAGCCGCGGUAAUUC